Neodiprion virginianus is the source of this 1102-nucleotide RNA transcript. It is a transcript of the gene named zinc finger MIZ domain-containing protein 2-like, with no coding region annotated. NCBI's taxonomy places the organism in Eukaryota, Metazoa, Arthropoda, Insecta, Hymenoptera, Diprionidae. The transcript is spliced from 5 exons. The record is from RefSeq and is a predicted model, not a curated record.
UUUACAGUUUCUAUGAAAAUCAAUCAGAUUGGGCAGAUAGAGUUUAAAUGCUCUGAAAUUGAAAUAUAACUAUAAGGUCUCGAGGGAUGGCGACACCUAUCCCCUCGAAUAUUGUACUUGCCCAAAAAAAAAUGUAAGAAUUAUUGUUCAACCUGCAGUGUAUGUGUAUGUCCAUCAGCACUGCCUAACUUGGGUAGCUGGCGAGUUUAGGUAGCAAAUUAAGUAUACAAAAGUUCUACACUCUUGUUAGUAAAGGUAUUUACCUGGGCGUGGUGUGGGUCUUUUUUUCCUGUGUCUAAUUUGUCUAACCUUUUGUGUUUAUGCUACAUUAGUGGGUAACCAGCAGAGAGUAGUUGAUAAGUCGAGUGUCAUACCAAAAGUUCACUGCAACGUUUAGUGGAUUAUAUUCAGUCGAGGUGCAUGUCGACAGUUCAAUAGCGUCGCAUAUUUGAAAUGUUUGAUCAGUUAAGUUGGAAGGAAAGUAUAGAAAAACUUUUGCUCGAAGGGAUAGUAUCGAAAGAAAAAAGCAUGGCCAGAAUAACGAAAAUAUUGAGCACCAACACUCCUAAUAACAGAAUCCAAUCUGAGAUUAAUCAAGAUACGUUGGAGCUGGAAGUAAUGGAGGUGGAGUUUGACUCGGAUCACGAUACCUGCACGGGGCUGUAAUUGUGAACAUAUACAAUGCUUCGAUUUGCAAUAUUAUGUAAUGCUGAACUACAAAGUUAAGUCAUGGAAGUGUCCUAUAUGCAAUAAAAAUGUUGGACUUAAAGACUUGAGCGUGGACGAGUACAUAUUUGAAAUUUUGGAGAUUACUACGAGCAUGUCGGAUGUUGAAAGGGUAGUAAUAGAUUUAACAGCUCGCUGGAAAAUAAAGAUUUCAAAACCGAAUGUUAUAGAUUUAACAUCUGAGGGAGACAAGGACUGCCAAAUUAUACACUCAAUAGUCAAUUUAAGUUUAGAAUGAAAUGCUUUCAACGGCUUCGAAACAAUUUCCAAUCGAAACGGUGUAAUAUGUAAAUGUUGGCAUAUUUCGAUUAGAACGAUUUUUGUGGCAUUAUGUAUGUACCUGCCCAAUCUAAAAUUGAUUUCAUUUCUUUACCAG